CUGGAAUAGUCAUUAUUUACAGUUGGUAUUGGCUAGAGGUUCACGUCUAUAAAGAGACUGUAAAAACAUAGCCAGUGAUUAUUGGCAUUGAGGCAUGCACCAUAUAAAGAGCUUUACACAUGCACCAUCUAAUUUAAUCAUCUAGCAACUUAAUGAGCAGUUGUUCUUACUGAUGACAUUUUAAAGCCGAGUACCAAAGAGGUCCAUUAAGGAAUCUUGAGAAGCAACAGAUUUUCUGAGGUGGGUGUAGGAAGAAGGAUUAGUGAAUGUAACAGAAAUGGAAUGGGCAAAGCUAGGAAGAGAAUCUCUGGACAGAAGAAGAGGACCAAAGACAGAGUCCUAAGGUACAACAGCAUUUGUGGGAGUGGGUAAGGAGAGACGUCUAGCAGAGGACUUAUAUUAAGUGAUCAGAAAUUCAGAGGGAGAACUGAAUUCAGAAAAUGGGAAAGGAGUUUUGAGAAGAAAAGGAUGCUUGAAGUAAAUGCCUCAGACUGUGAAAGGUCAAGUUAUGUGAGGAUGAAAGAAGCCUUAAGUUGGUUCUGUGCACUUUUAGCUAUAUGGUGGGGUGAAAACUGAGGAGGAAGGGUGAGGAAUGAAUUGAAUUGUAAGGAGAGGGAGUGGAAUAGUUAGUUGCUGCCUAAAGGGCGGCAGCACUGAGGAAAUCAGUGUUGAGAAGAACAUACAUAGGUCCCUACCAGAAGAAAAAGAGAUUCUAAAAGAUUCUUUUUUCUUAAAAUAGAAAAGAAAUCUAUCAUUUUGUUUAUAUGCAAAGGCUCAGGAGAAGGAACACCUGAAGGUGCAGAGGAAGGGGAUUUGAUAGAAUAAUAUCUUGGAGGAUGAUGGAGGAGAUAAGUAGAAGUAUAGAAAGGGCUGAACAAAGGGCAUCCCUCUGCCCACCCGCCUUGCUUCCAGGGUUCAGAAGCACGUUUGAAACACUGGGUAGCAUGAGCAAGAGGAAAUGUGAAGAGAGACCUAAAGGAUUGGGCAGGUUAGACAGAGAAAAGCUUUUUGUGCUAUUCCUAGUGUAGAACUAGGGCAGACUAAAGUUUUAUAUAUUUUUUCAUAAAGAAAAAUAAAUAAAUGUAGUACAUCUGCAUAAUAUGGCUUUGUACUAAAAUGAGCCUCACUAUGGUGCCUUCUUCAAAAUUACCAGAUAGAGGCAUAAAGUGUUACAGAAAGUAGUUUCACUUAAUUUACUGUAUUUCAUUUGUUUAACAUGGCGUUUGCAAUUGAUGUUCUUUUGGUAUGAUAACUACCUACAAAUUACCGUGCUUUCUUCCUCAGAUAUUCAUCCUCUUUGAAAAGAAAAGGAUUUACAGAUUAUAUUAGACUUUUAUUUUUUAAAAUGUAUAUUUGUGAAUAGAAAACAUAAAAAUCCAUGUAUUUCCUAGCUACAUUUAUCCAAUCAUAUAUUAAUAAUUGAGUCCAAUUAAACAGUUUUAAACAACUGCAACAAAAAUAAAGCAAGUGGAGGCAAAAGUUAUAAUGGGUAAAUACUUCAUGAAAUUCAGUAGAAACUAAAACAUUUUAGAUUGUUGUAUGCUAUAAAGAGUUUAUGCUAACUUUUUUUUCCUGAGGAGAUUUUGUUUAAAGUAAGACUACUUAAUAGCAUAUUUUGAUGAUAUUUGAGAAGAAAUUCAAUCCCGAAACAUAAUUGCAACAUGGAGGAUGAGGAGAAAAAUCUACAUUUUUUCCCUUAAAAAAUGUUGAUUUUUCUAGAAUCUCAUUCAGCGCUAAAAGUAUGAUGUUGUAUAUGGCAUGCCAGUAGAGGUUGUCUACAUAUUUACCAGUUAAACUCUAGUUUUUAAUUGUUACUCAGUCUUUCACGACUAGAAUGUCAAACCAAGAUAUAUUUGAAGAAAUAAAAGGUAGUAUCAGUAUUUUCUGUACCAAUAAGUAUAUAUUUCAUAAGGAACUAAUUCCUUCUAGUGAUAAUUUAUUAUGGGAAAAGAAGAGAUAUUUAAACAUGACUCUGAUCUUAUCUGCUUUCAAUUUGGUAAACAAACAAACAAACAAACAAAAAACAGUAUCAUGUUCUGUUUUCUACCUGGGGGUUUCUAGGAUACCCUGUCAUUAGGAGUAGGUCCUCCUCAAAAGGAGAUCUUAAGAUCCAGAUCAGAUUUUAAUAGAAGGAGGAUGACUAAAUGUGUGUUUGUUCAAUAUUAUGUCCUAAACAUCAAAGAUCCACUGACUAAACUAUCUUACUCUUGGAUAGGCCUUGCUUCCCUUUUUAAGUAUAAAUAUCUCUUGAGGAGUAACAAUAAGUGACUGUUUUCUUUUAGAAAUAAAUUUUUCAGAAAUAAAUCUUCAUUCGAUAGAGUGGGAAACAAGAUGCUAGUUAGGGAUAAGAAAGCGUUUCCUAAAGAGUGGGCCAAAAAUCGCUGGAAAGUGGAGCUAGGUUUUAUCACUAAAACCUUUGCUUGCUUCUUCAUUUUGCAUGUGGCCAAAGCAGUCUUGUCUUGAGAAGCCCUUUGACACGGGGCAUUUUCAUGUGGAAGCACUAUAAAUGGACUUUCCAGGAGGCACAUCAAAGGGUUUCAUUUCUGUUAGAGUCUAUUUUUCAGCUAAAUUCAUUCAAAUAGAAUUUCUUGGCCUGCUCAUGUAAGUAGCAUGUCUGGCCUGCCAAAUGUCAUAAAUAUAUGACAAUUUAUUUCUCUUCUCUCAAACUUGUGGAAAGUUCCUGAAGGCCAAAUUCUCCCCUUGCAUUGUGGAAGGGCACCAUUUGAUCUUAUGAAUAAUGGGGAGUUCCUGUCAUGGCUCAGUGGAAAUGAAUCUGACUGGUAUCCAUGAGGAUGCUGGUUAGAUCCCUGGCCUCGCUCAGUGGGUCAGGGAUCAGGUGUUGCCUUGACCUGUGUAUAGGUCACAGAUGCAACUCCAGUCCCAUGUUGCUAUGACUGUGGCAUAGGCCAGCAGCUGUAGCUCAGAUUUGACCCCUAGCCUGGGAACUUCCACAUGCCACGGAUGUGGCUGUAAAAAG
This 2977-nucleotide long non-coding RNA is filed under the name Sus scrofa (pig). RNAcentral's name for it is "lncRNA (ENSSSCG00000045747.1)". The record is from RNAcentral. Lineage: Eukaryota; Metazoa; Chordata; Mammalia; Artiodactyla; Suidae.